UAGUGGCGAACGGGUGAGUAACACGUGGGCAAUCUGCCCUUCACUCUGGGACAAGCCCUGGAAACGGGGUCUAAUACCGGAUACGACUACCGAUCGCAUGGUCUGGUGGUGGAAAGCUCCGGCGGUGAAGGAUGAGCCCGCGGCCUAUCAGCUUGUUGGUGGGGUGAUGGCCUACCAAGGCGACGACGGGUAGCCGGCCUGAGAGGGCGACCGGCCACACUGGGACUGAGACACGGCCCAGACUCCUACGGGAGGCAGCAGUGGGGAAUAUUGCACAAUGGGCGAAAGCCUGAUGCAGCGACGCCGCGUGAGGGAUGACGGCCUUCGGGUUGUAAACCUCUUUCAGCAGGGAAGAAGCGAGAGUGACGGUACCUGCAGAAGAAGCGCCGGCUAACUACGUGCCAGCAGCCGCGGUAAUACGUAGGGCGCAAGCGUUGUCCGGAAUUAUUGGGCGUAAAGAGCUCGUAGGCGGCUUGUCACGUCGGAUGUGAAAGCCCGGGGCUUAACCCCGGGUCUGCAUUCGAUACGGGCAGGCUAGAGUUCGGUAGGGGAGAUCGGAAUUCCU
RNAcentral lists this ribosomal RNA (565 nucleotides) under Streptomyces sp. 340G01. RNAcentral's name for it is "bacterial SSU rRNA". It matches the Rfam family "Bacterial small subunit ribosomal RNA", at positions 93 to 671 of the family's 1533-position model. The record is from RNAcentral. Lineage: Bacteria; Bacillati; Actinomycetota; Actinomycetes; Kitasatosporales; Streptomycetaceae.